RNAcentral lists this ribosomal RNA (275 nucleotides) under uncultured bacterium. RNAcentral's name for it is "partial 16S ribosomal RNA". It matches the Rfam family "Bacterial small subunit ribosomal RNA", at positions 523 to 796 of the family's 1533-position model. The record is from RNAcentral.
AUACGGAGGGUCCAAGCGUUAUCCGGAAUCAUUGGGUUUAAAGGGUCCGCAGGCGGUCAAUUAAGUCAGAGGUGAAAGCCCAUCGCUCAACGAUGGAACUGCCUUUGAUACUGGUUGACUUGAGUUAUACGGAAGUAGAUAGAAUAAGUAGUGUAGCGGUGAAAUGCAUAGAUAUUACUUAGAAUACCGAUUGCGAAGGCAGUCUACUACGUAUAUACUGACGCUGAGGGACGAAAGCGUCAGUAUUGGUCCAGAAUUAGAUACCCCGGUAGUCC